AGAUCACUUCAAAGCGGGCUUGUGGAGCUGCAAAACCAAAAGCUUUAAUGUAUGACCAAAGAUUGAUAUUCUCUGUAGGAUGCCAUAGUCACUCAGUAGUGCUACAUCUUCUUAAGCAGAUAUAAGA
This 127-nucleotide small nucleolar RNA is filed under the name Aotus nancymaae (Ma's night monkey). Its description in RNAcentral is "Small nucleolar RNA SNORA25 (ENSANAG00000031064.1)". It matches the Rfam family "Small nucleolar RNA SNORA25". Rfam says of the family: ACA25 is a member of the H/ACA class of snoRNA that guide the sites of modification of uridines to pseudouridines. The record is from Rfam by way of RNAcentral. Lineage: Eukaryota; Metazoa; Chordata; Mammalia; Primates; Aotidae.